CGGACGGGUGAGUAACGCGUGGAUAACCUGCCUCACACUGGGGGAUAACAGUUAGAAAUGACUGCUAAUACCGCAUAAGCGCACAGUACCGCAUGGUACAGUGUGAAAAACUCCGGUGGUGUGAGAUGGAUCCGCGUCUGAUUAGCCGGUUGGCGGGGUAACGGCCCACCAAAGCGACGAUCAGUAGCCGACCUGAGGGGGUGACCGGCCACAUUGGGACUGAGACACGGCCCAA
This 235-nucleotide ribosomal RNA is filed under the name uncultured bacterium. RNAcentral describes it as "partial 16S ribosomal RNA". It matches the Rfam family "Bacterial small subunit ribosomal RNA", at positions 99 to 334 of the family's 1533-position model. The record is from RNAcentral.